Molecule: long non-coding RNA, 4270 nt
Filed under: Anolis carolinensis (green anole)
Lineage: Eukaryota; Metazoa; Chordata; Lepidosauria; Squamata; Anolidae
Description: lncRNA (ENSACAG00000032155.2)
Source: RNAcentral
AUCUUUCCACUUGGAGUUUGACCAUCUUGCCUGCCUUUCUUUUUUUGAUAAUGAUUGCAGAGUAGAAGCUACCUAAAGUUCACAGGGUGCUCAGGACCGAAAGAAAUUGAAGGUGUUUGCUGAUGUUGUGACAGCUCUCUCGCGAACCUGCCUGGACAAGAGACAGCUUCCCCAGAUGAGUUUUCGGAAGACUGGAGUGUGCUGAGACAAUGCAACAGCAUCCCUCGCCCUUCAAAGGCCACGUCAUGCUGGCAUUUAGGUUUUCUUGGUACUUGCCACCAAAGCACUCACAGCAGUAGCGAGACUGACAGUCAUGUAUCUUAUGAACAUCCAGUUACUCUGAACACAUCUGAAAGCUCAGGCAGAAAGAACAUGAUGAUACUCUACGGUUGGCAUUUCCAGUCCAGUAACUUCAACAGAACAAAGCUCACAAGGCAGGUCAGAACUGACAAUGAGACAACUUGAUAGCUUUGGGAAAAUCCGAAUGGGCCUGAAAAAUAAUGAGGGGCCAUAUCUACAUUUCUGCAUCAGAUCAACAUUUAAAAGGCAUUUGAAAGAAUAUUUUUAAUGAAAAUAUACUUGCAGAAUCACAGCAGAAAAGAGUUUGAGGGAAGUGACUUGUGCCAGAACUUGUAAUACUAGGUUUGUCCACUGUUGCCAAUAAAAUUCCAAUGCCAAUAAAACACAUCUCAACUUUUCUAAUCUUUCAUCUCAGACUAAUAUUGUCAUUAUUGAAAUUUGAUUUUAAGAGGGUUUAAAAAAACCCCAAGAAUGUUUUAUUAUGAAGCCUUUAAUUUGGGUCUGUUGAUGAUUUUCUCUGCAGCAAACAUUACAGUAUAGAUAGAACAUAUAUCUUGAAAUCUAAGUACUAACUCUUUUACUAUAACAUUUGUUCUCCUCACCACCACCACCUUCACUUUUUUAAAUACCUCAUUAAUUCUGGAAGCUAUUUGUUGCAGGAGAAGACACAUUAGCAUCUUUACUCAUAAAAAAGGGCACAGUUUAUAUGCUACAGAUUUACACACCGGGAUGAAGGUUAAUUAAGGCUAUCAUUGAAAAACAUGCUCUGAGACCUUGUACAGCAAAAUGUGAAUAAAGCUCAUGUAAUUCUAGGUAUUUCCUGCAUGUGUUUGGUGUAUAUAUUCUGCUAGAUUGAAGAUAUCUUUUGGUAAUUUAUUAAAAUUGUCCUUGAGGAUAUCAGUAAGUGCCUUUAUGAGAAAGCCCGUCACAUUAUGAUAGGAAGGAAAUACUGUUAUUGUAUCCUCAGGUAAUAUUCUCUAGUUAUUAUGCACUAAAAAUAGAUGCAUUUAUUUCCUCUUGUUUUUAUAUUUCUUCUGGGAAAUAUUAUCCAAACCAUUUGAAGGAAGUCAUGCUGAUGAGUAAGAUGUAUGAAAACAACCAGAACAAAAUCUAGGCAAUAUCUAAAAAUAUUCUACCACUUUUUUGUCAUAUUAUUUCCAUCUGUUCUCUAACUUAAAAUGUGAAAACAUCGAAUAUGGAGACAGAAUGCACUCAGGUGCUUUAGCGGAAAAAAAGUGCACCCCAUACUUUUGGCUGAGCUGCUAUGACUUAUCAUGGAUUAGUUGACUCUGAGGGUCUUUGUCAGAAUUAAGAACUAACUCUAGUCUUAUGUAUGCUUAAUGAAUCUGAUGAGGAUUAUUCCCAAUAACUAUGCAUAAUAUUAUAACUUAUCUUUUCAAUAAACUGCAACAAAAGCUCAGCUUAUAACUUAUCUUUUCAAUAAACUGCAACAAAAGCUCAGCAAAUCAGUUUCUUUUACCUUCAUUUCUUUGUUUUCUUUUUUAAAAAAAUGAAUGACUGAAGAAACUUAAGGGGCCCCUGGUGGCUCUGAGCUGCUGAACUUGCUGACCGAAAGGUUGGCAGUUCGAAUCCGGGGAGUGGAGUGAGCUCCCGCGAUUAGCCCCAGCUUCUGCCAACCUAGCAGUUUGAAAACAUGCAAAUGUUGGUAGAUCAAUAGGUACCAUUCUGGUGGGAAGGUAACAACACUCCAUGCAGUCAUUCCAGCCACAUGACCAUGGAGGGGUCUUUGGAUAACGCCAGCUCUUCAGCUUAGAAAUGGAGAUGAGCACCAACCCCCAGAGUCGGACACAACUAGACUUAAUGUCAAGGGAAACCUUUACCUUUACUAAAGUCCCUUAUUUUGGACAUUUUACAAGCUUAAUUAGUGAUCCUCUGUAUUUGUGUCUGCAUACCUUAUUAUAGUAUUUUAACCGUUUCUUACCAUUUCUGAAUAAUGUCAACUUUUAUGCUAUUUUAGUGGUACAUAAGUGAACAUUCCAAGGGAUAUGAAAAGAUGUAGUUGGAUUUGACAGUUUCAACAAAAGUAUUUUUUUUUACAACUUUCAAUACUCACCUUAAGAUUUUGCACUUAUAUGACAGUGAAAAGAAAAUGCAUACAAAACAAUGUCCACGGGUUACCAUAUGAAUAGACAGAAUGUGCACAAAUGUAAAGAUAUGCACUGGCACACUUUAGUCAGUAUGGUGUAUGUUAGUAAAGUGUGAAAAUAAUGCACACAUUAGGAAAAGGAAGGUAAAAGUAUAUACAUUUAAUACAAAAAUUAAAAACAUGAACUUUUUCAAAGUCAUGAAAUAAGUAUGGGAAUAAAUGAAGUUGGAACUGGAAAAACAAGACAUGGAAAAAUUCUCAUCCCAGCACUUUACCUAUUAAAUGCCCAUCUUUUCUGGUAGAACAUCCAAUUGAAGAAUGGGUAACCAACCACCUGAUGCCAGGAGGAACUGCAGAUUUAUUUUACUUAAAAGAAACUGAAAUAUCACAGUAACAAAAUAUUCUUGCUAGUAUUUUUGCACUCACCAUGCUAGUGGUUGUAUUUUUCUAGGGUGGCAAGAGAAGGCAGACAAAAAUGCCAGUCCUAGAGAACCCAUUUCUCCAAUUCCUUAUAUACUCUGUGGCCAUGAGCCCACAGCUUUUUUCUUCCUUAUACCAAACUACACCAGUAACGUUAUGGUAGCAUAAUACCUCACAAUAGGGUUCCAGCCUCUGACUUUUGUAUGAAUUGAGUGCCCAGUUGGACUUUUUUCCUAGAAAAUACCAGUAAUAUACUAACACUACUAUCAUAUGCACAUUUCGCUUGGAGUAAUUGCCACUUCAGAGUUAUUUUCUAAGUAGAUAUGUAUGGGAUUGCACCAACAACAUUGCUUCAAACUUUCUUAUUCCUGUUGUGUAUAUCUUUCAAGUCAUUUUUUUAGUUAUUGUGACCCUAAAAUAAACCUAUCUCUGGGUUUUCUUGGUAAGAUUUGAGCAAAAAAAAAAAAACUACACCUUUGCCUCUCUCUGAGGAUGGAAGAAUGUGGUUUCCCCAACAUCACCCCAAGGGUUUCUGUAACUGAGCAGAGACUUGAACACUGGUCUCUAGAAUCAUCGUCCAGCAUGCAAAUCACAAUACCAUACUAGUUCUCAUUUGGCUUGCCAUUUCCUAUUUUACCUUUACUUAAAAAGUACAUUUACUUUAAAUUGUUUGAAAAGUAAAUCGAGAUAGUUUGCUAUACUUUACACAGCCUUCAGACUGUUCCAUUGACUAAUCUGUUGAAAAUGCAUCCACGUUCUCUGCGUUCCAUCUCUCCUGCACAUUUUGGAAUAGCAUUGAAAUGGGGGGGAGGGGGUUGGGUAAUCUUUCCCAUUUGACCAGCACUGUAUCAGAAGUGAAAGUCCCUAGUGGGUGAAGACCCUAGUGGGUGAAGACCCUAGUGGGUGAAGACCCAGGUAUUUAUCACUGUCCUGAAUGGAUGGAAUCCCACCAUGAUUCAACUCACGUAUCUCUAUGUGACUGUCCAGAAAAGGCUGUGAAAUGCAUAGUUCACAGAAAUACCUAUCUUUCAUGCAAAGUGUUUACAGAAAUGGAAAAUGGUAGCCUAUUAUUUCCACAGAGUGUAAGUUUCAUAAUCUAAAUCAGGCAUGGGAAAACUUUGGCCAUCCAGGUAUUUUGGACUUUAACUCCCACAAUUCCUAACAGCCUACUGGCUGUUAGGAAUUGUGGAAGUUGAAGUCAAAAACACUUGGAGGGCUGAAGUUUGCCCAUGCCUGAUCUAAAUGGUGCUAUAGUCUUGUCAAAUCUUAAAACAGCAUUAUGAAUUACCGAUGCUUCGUGUGUUAGUGCUUGCCCUUCUAUAGGUAAGUAGAUAGAUCAAAAUAGAACUACAAUAUCUAUAGUCCAGAAUGUGUUUGUGUAACAUCCAUGUGGUUUUCUUGUUGGUGCAUUUAUUGUGAGCUAUUCAAAAACAUUUAAUUAUG